UAUAGUCCCAAAUAGUAGCCGGAUCAAGCGUUGGAUUGGUGACUACUCGCACCGAAUCUGAGUAGGCGUCGUAAAGCCCGCCGAAAUACUGCGCUUUGACAACAAGCAAUAAAGCACCUAGUCCUAGGAAGAUCAGGUGAUGGCCCAAGAUAAAGCCUAACUUGCUGGCGUCUUGCCA
This 178-nucleotide antisense RNA is filed under the name Synechococcus sp. PCC 7335. Its description in RNAcentral is "Antisense RNA which regulates isiA expression". It matches the Rfam family "Antisense RNA which regulates isiA expression". The record is from Rfam by way of RNAcentral. Lineage: Bacteria; Bacillati; Cyanobacteriota; Cyanophyceae; Synechococcales; Synechococcaceae.